RNAcentral lists this non-coding RNA (31 nucleotides) under Mus musculus (house mouse). Lineage: Eukaryota; Metazoa; Chordata; Mammalia; Rodentia; Muridae. The record is from RNAcentral. RNAcentral also lists the same sequence under 1 other name.
UCCACAUUUGCCAAGAGAGAUUCAUCAGUUU